GCAUGCGGCCGAGUGCGGGACUGGGGCUCCUGGCUGUGGGUGUGGUACCGAGGCUUCAGCGGGUGCCGCCCGCCUAGAGGGAGUGGAGCGGUGAGCACGUCAGGGGUGGGGGGCGCAGGUCAAGCUUUCACCAGUUUUUAAUUCUUUGAUGGGGUAAAUUUGAGCAAUUUUCUCGACUUGUCGACAUUCGUUAUUAACUGAGCAGGAAUCAGGAGAGGAACCCGGUCCUCUCCACACAGCCCAGCAGGUACGCCGCCCAUGUGCCUGUGGAGAAGAGAGGUUCCUGUGGGGCAGACAGAGAGCCUACGACUAGAUUUGCAUCUUUACGUCCUGCGCGGAGGCUGCUACACACAUGCAGAAGUCAUGCUGGUGGCCUGGACAGUGAAGGGAGAGAAGUGGAUUUGGGAGACAUUUAGGAGGAACAGUAAGAGGACCUUGUGCAUGAAUAAUUUGUUUCCACACUACAGAAAGAAUCCCAGACUUCUUAGAGAACCCAGUGACUUUUUGCACCUUAAAUCUGUGAAAUCCUCAUGUUUUCUUCUGCCGUAUCCAUAGUUCAAACAAAGAUGAGGCAAAGCUAGAUGCAUUCCUGAAGGAACCCAAGAAAUUCCUCUCUUUAUUUCUCUGGAAUGAAAUGAAUUCUCUAGACCACCAGUUCUAACCUUCAAAAACCAAACCUGUUUGUGAGAUCUCCUUCAAAUACUACUGUAGACCCCAGUGUUUAUUCAUUAAAUUUUUAAAAUAUUUGUUUUA
This is a long non-coding RNA of Homo sapiens (human), 753 nucleotides long. Ensembl annotates it as ribosomal protein L23a pseudogene 7. Its record names the gene RPL23AP7. The record is from Ensembl. Lineage: Eukaryota; Metazoa; Chordata; Mammalia; Primates; Hominidae.